This 510-nucleotide ribosomal RNA is filed under the name uncultured archaeon. Its description in RNAcentral is "bacterial SSU rRNA". It matches the Rfam family "Archaeal small subunit ribosomal RNA", at positions 437 to 948 of the family's 1478-position model. The record is from RNAcentral.
AGGGGUGGGUAAGGACAGUGCCAGCCGCCGCGGUAAUACCGGCGCCUCAAGUGGUAGUCGCUUUUAUUGGGCCUAAAACGUCCGUAGCCGGUCUGGUGCAUUCGUGGGUAAAUCAACCCGCUCAACGGGUUGAAUUCUGCGAGCACGGCCAGACUUGGGACCGGGAGAGGUGUGGGGUACUCUCAGGGUAGGGGUAAAAUCCUGUCAUCCUGAGAGGACCACCUGUUGCGAAGGCGCCACACUAGAACGGAUCCGACGGUCAGGGACGAAACCUAGGGGCACGAACCGGAUUAGAUACCCGGGUAGUCCUAGGUGUAAACGCUGUGGACUUGAUGUUGGGGGCGCUCCGAGCGCUCUCAGUGUCGAAGCGAAGGUGAUAAGUCCACUGCCUGGGGAGUACGGUCGCAAGGCUGAAACUUAAAGGAAUUGGCGGGGGAGCACUGCAACCUGAGGAUUGUGCGGUUUAAUUGGAUUCAACGCCGGAAAACUCACCAUGGCCGACGGACAAAU